This 107-nucleotide small nuclear RNA is filed under the name Microcebus murinus (gray mouse lemur). Lineage: Eukaryota; Metazoa; Chordata; Mammalia; Primates; Cheirogaleidae. The record is from RNAcentral.
GUGCUUAUUUUGUCAGCACAUACGUUAAAAUUAGAAUGAUACAGAGAAGAUUAGCAUGGCCCCUGCACAAGGAUAACAUACAAAUUUGUGAAGCACUCCAUAUUUUG